CAGGCCUACGGGGCGCAGCAGUAGGGAAUUUUCGUCAAUGGGCGCAAGCCUGAACGAGCAAUGCCGCGUGAACGAGGAAGGUCUUCGGAUCGUAAAGUUCUGUUGAAGGGGAAAAAGAGCGGAGAGAGGAAAUGAACUCCGAUUGAUAUUACCCUUCGAGGAAUGCACGGCUAACUACGUGCCAGCAGCCGCGGUAAUACGUAGGUGGCGAGCGUUAUCCGGACUGAUUGGCCGUAAAGGUGGGAUAUGCGGCCUGAUAAGUCUGG
RNAcentral lists this ribosomal RNA (266 nucleotides) under uncultured bacterium. RNAcentral's name for it is "partial 16S ribosomal RNA". It matches the Rfam family "Bacterial small subunit ribosomal RNA", at positions 334 to 592 of the family's 1533-position model. The record is from RNAcentral.